UAGGGAAUCUUCGGCAAUGGACGGAAGUCUGACCGAGCAACGCCGCGUGAGUGAAGAAGGUUUUCGGAUCGUAAAGCUCUGUUGUAAGAGGAGAACGAGUGUGAGAGUGGAAAGUUCACACUGUGACGGUAUCUUACCAGAAAGGGACGGCUAACUACGUGCCAGCAGCCGCGGUAAUACGUAGGUCCCGAGCGUUGUCCGGAUUUAUUGGGCGUAAAGCGAGCGCAGGCGGUUAGAUAAGUCUGAAGUUAAAGGCUGUGGCUUAACCAUAGUACGCUUUGGAAACUGUUUAACUUGAGUGCAAGAGGGGAGAGUGGAAUUCCAUGUGUAGCGGUGAAAUGCGUAGAUAUAUGGAGGAACACCGGUGGCGAAAGCGGCUCUCUGGCUUGUAACUGACGCUGAGGCUCGAAAGCGUGGGGAGCAAACAGGAUUAGAUACCCUGGUAGUCCACGCCGUAAACGAUGAGUGCUAGGUGUUAGACCCUUUCCGGGGUUUAGUGCCGUAGCUAACGCAUUAAGCACUCCGCCUGGGGAGUACGACCGCAAGGUUG
This 550-nucleotide ribosomal RNA is filed under the name uncultured bacterium. RNAcentral describes it as "bacterial SSU rRNA". It matches the Rfam family "Bacterial small subunit ribosomal RNA", at positions 355 to 896 of the family's 1533-position model. The record is from RNAcentral.